RNAcentral lists this unclassified non-coding RNA (352 nucleotides) under soil metagenome. RNAcentral describes it as "partial contains 5.8S ribosomal RNA, internal transcribed spacer 2, and large subunit ribosomal RNA". The stretch from base 1 to 120 matches the Rfam family "5.8S ribosomal RNA", at positions 35 to 154 of the family's 154-position model. The record is from RNAcentral.
GAUGAAGAACGUAGCGAAAUGCGAUAAGUAAUGUGAAUUGCAGAAUUCAGUGAAUCAUCGAAUCUUUGAACGCACAUUGCGCCCGCCAGUAUUCUGGCGGGCAUGCCUAUUCGAGCGUCAUUACAACCCUCAGGCCCCCGGGCCUGGCGUUGGGGAUCGGCGGAGCCCCCCGUGGGCACACGCCGUCCCCCAAAUACAGUGGCGGUCCCGCCGCAGCUUCCAUCGCGUAGUAGCUAACACCUCGCGACUGGAGAGCGGCGCGGCCACGCCGUAAAACACCCAACUCUUCUGAAGUUGACCUCGAAUCAGGUAGGAAUACCCGCUGAACUUAAGCAUAUCAAUAAGCGGAGGA